GAAAUAGAACCUGAAACCGUGUGCCUACAACAAGUUCGAGCCCGUUAAUGGGUGAGAGCGUGCCUUUUGUAGAAUGAACCGGCGAGUUACGAUAUGAUGCGAGGUUAAGUUGAAGAGACGGAGCCGUAGGGAAACCGAGUCUUAAUAGGGCGAUUAGUUGCAGGGUAUAGACCCGAAACCGAGUGAUCUAUCCAUGAGCAGGUUGAAAGUGCCGUAACAGGCACCGGAGGACCGAACCCACUGUCGU
Molecule: ribosomal RNA, 247 nt
Filed under: Rhodosorus marinus
Lineage: Eukaryota; Rhodophyta; Stylonematophyceae; Stylonematales; Stylonemataceae
Description: partial Bacterial large subunit ribosomal RNA
Rfam family: Bacterial large subunit ribosomal RNA
Source: RNAcentral